UGAAAUUGGAUCACUACAAAAAAAAAUGCACACAAAAUAAGUAAAUCAUGUGGCUCAAAUAAACAAAUGAGAUUUAGGUGACACAUGGACUGUAUGGUUUUCACCAAAAAAGCAACUGGAAAAUGACCAUACAGUUUCAAUUGGAGAGUUGUGCACCCGACCUUAUGAAUCAUCUUGAGUUUCUGGGCUGAUUUUUAAAUUAUGAAUGAAGUUGAGGCCAUGUCCUUGGGAUUACAAGGCUUUGGCUUUCCGGAGGUAAGGCUUUUUGUAGCUUGUUGUGGUGUGUGGUGUGACAGAAGAAAGGACAAAAUAUUGGGAUGUUGUCUUGAAGCGGCAAGGGGAGAGGGAGGACUUUUGUGUUGGGGAACAAUUGUGGACAGAUUCUCUUCUAUGUUAUGGUUUGGGUUUGGAGAUUCC
This 417-nucleotide long non-coding RNA is filed under the name Manihot esculenta (cassava). Its description in RNAcentral is "long non-coding RNA (MESC_LNC000763)". The record is from RNAcentral. Lineage: Eukaryota; Viridiplantae; Streptophyta; Magnoliopsida; Malpighiales; Euphorbiaceae.